RNAcentral lists this ribosomal RNA (253 nucleotides) under uncultured bacterium. RNAcentral's name for it is "partial 16S ribosomal RNA". It matches the Rfam family "Bacterial small subunit ribosomal RNA", at positions 524 to 776 of the family's 1533-position model. The record is from RNAcentral.
UACGUAGGGGGCGAGCGUUGUCCGGAAUCAUUGGGCGUAAAGCGCGUGUAGGCGGCUCGGUAAGUCCGGUGUGAAACCUUGGGGCUCAACCCCAAGCCUGCACUGGAUACUGUCGAGCUUGAGUCCGGGAGGGGAGAGCGGAAUUCCUAGUGUAGCGGUGAAAUGCGCGGAUAUUAGGAAGAACACCGGUGGCGAAGGCGGCUCUCUGGAACGGUACUGACGCUGAGACGCGAAAGCGUGGGGAGCGAACAGG